GACUGAUGCCCGGUAAGAAGGUGAACGUGACAUAUGCCCUCAUCAGCUGCAAGAAAUGAUCUACGAGACAGCGUUCCAGGCUAUUGGAGACCUAAGAUGGCUGAUCCACAUGUGACUGAUGCCCGGUGAGAAGGUGAACGUGACAUAAGCCCUCGUCAGCUGCAAGAAAGAAUUUACGAGACAGGAACAGGAUGAGUAACCUGAGUACCGACCAGAAUCCUGUAUUUGCUGAUUUCAUCAUUUAAGCCCAGGAGAUGGCAUAUGGGUGUUUGGGAUACAUGUAUAAUUAAGUGUAUUCAUUAAUUACUUCUAUAUCUUGCCAUGGGGCUAUAGAUAAUCCCCUAAAAAUCCCCUGAGGACGGCGCCGUAAAGACAGUGGCGCUAGAAACGCGUUGGGCUUUAUUCUUUUGUGCUAAAAGGGGUACUCUUUUUCUCCUUGACACAUCAGGAGAUUUAUUAACAGUGAUUCUACUCUUUAUAAAUCAGUGUCGCAUUGGAGACACUGUAUUGUCUGAUUCAUAAUACAUCACUAUUGAGUGAUUUUAUGACCUUUCCUUUAUCUGGCAUUAAUAAAUGUUAAGUUUUA
Molecule: long non-coding RNA, 586 nt
Organism: Hyla sarda
Lineage: Eukaryota; Metazoa; Chordata; Amphibia; Anura; Hylidae
Exons: 5
Source: RefSeq, a predicted model, not a curated record